UCCUUCCUUCCUUUCUUCUUUCUCCUUUCUCUUCUUUCCUUCCUCAAUCAAACUUCCUUCGGGAUCAUUGAAGGAGAGCUGUGGCCUGUCUCAUGGAUGACUCCGUGGGAGUAUUUUCCCUGGAUCUGGGGGUGAGUAUCAGAUUUGAGGGGAUCAUGACGUGCCCCGUAAAAAAGUGUAAAGUUCACUUUUAAUCCUUAGGCGUCUUCAGUAGGAAUUCUCCUUGGGGUCUGACUCUUUCCUUUUUCAGCUUUUUCACAUGCUUGGGAAGUCACUGUGUGAGAAGAGCUGAGCACACAGAGCUCUGCACUCCCCUGUGGGGCUGGAAGGGCAGGUGGGAGCCACAGCCGGCUGGGGGCCGUGAGCCUGACUGUGCAGACUCUGCUGUCAGUGAGGGCAUGGAAUCCUGAAGGCAAAGGGUAUUCAAGUGUGUGUGUUUUGGGGUUGAAGAGUGAGAGAAUCAUUAUUGUUACGUGAAUUAUUCUGAAGUCCUAUGUGGGGCGGUGGGUGGGGUUGGUGGGAGAGACUGAAGGAGUGGGGACGGUGCAUGUGGGGCUGAGAUUAGACAGUGGAAGGGGAAUGGGAAGCUAGGGACUGAUGGAAAAGGCAUUAAGAUGAUACAAAGAAGAAGUAAGAGGUGCUUGAUUUGGGGGAGUGGUAGUGCUAUGAGAUGAGAAAAGUCAAGCCUCAUAACGGAACUGGGGAAAUCAGAAAUGGGAGCUCAUUUGGGGGAAAGAAUGUUAAUUUGAAAUAUUCUAGCAUUUUGGAUUUUUAGGGGAUGUUUUGAAAAGGGGCUGGUUGGAACUAUUUCCAGUGCAGAGAUCAUCCUUGCCUAUCAGAGAACUGUAAUUUGGGACAUGUGAAUCUUUUACCCAUCUCUUCGAGACACCUGAAGACAGAGCUAAGCCUUCUGUUUCCAGUGAUCAGGGGCUGGAUGAAGCCAGCCUCAGGAUAAUAAACCAGGUGAUAAUUUUAGCUCCCAAGCAUGCUUCCUCAUUUGAGAAACAAAACACGGCCGUGAUGCCUAGUGUAUUGUGACCUAUGUGGAGGAGCAGGUGUGACCAUCACUGAGUCAGUGCCUAAUAAGAAGCAGACACUGGGUUUUGCAAAGUAACUGUGAAACCACCUCCUACAGUGGAAUGAAUCUGCCCAGUGGAAUGAAUAGCCCAAGGGAUAUUUUUUACCCUGAAUAACAACAGCUCCUCUAAGAGUGAAGUUUCUCUUUGCGGAGCUAUCUUAUUGUUAUUUGGGACGGAUGGACUGUCAGGCUUUUCUGCCAGAAGCAGAAAUGCUAAUCAAGCCUUGAGCAGGAUGGGACCAGGACUCAAACUCCUUAAGGUGGCUGAGACCCACGUGGACGGCGGGUUUUGCUCAAUCUCAUUUGUGUAGGUCCUUCUGGAGCUGCGGCCUGUAAGAAACUCCGGCCGUCUGGAGAAUGUUGUUCUAACCGAGCUCAUGGCAGUACAUUUUUCACCAAAUUACAUUAGCAUAUAAAACCUGGGUUAUUGAUUUCUUCUUUACUUGUUGUGGUUUCUGGGCAAAAGUCCAAGUUUAUAGAAGCCAAGAGAAUGUACACAUACUUGAGAGUUGUCUAUUUGUUUUUUUUGUUGUUGUGUUCUUAUUUGAGAGACCCGGGACAUGAUCCACGGAGGUGGAAUGACUUUGCAUUCUUUUUCUUCUUUUUUUUUUAAUCUUUUUUAGGGCUGCACUUGCAGCAGA
This is a non-coding RNA of Sus scrofa (pig), 1719 nucleotides long. Lineage: Eukaryota; Metazoa; Chordata; Mammalia; Artiodactyla; Suidae. The record is from RefSeq and is a predicted model, not a curated record.